Molecule: ribosomal RNA, 468 nt
Filed under: uncultured bacterium
Lineage: Bacteria
Description: partial 16S ribosomal RNA
Rfam family: Bacterial small subunit ribosomal RNA
Source: RNAcentral
GACGAACGCUGGCGGCGUGCUUAACACAUGCAAGUCGAACGGAAAGGCCCUGCUUUUGUGGGGUGCUCGAGUGGCGAACGGGUGAGUAACACGUGAGUAACCUGCCCUUGACUUUGGGAUAACUUCAGGAAACUGGGGCUAAUACCGGAUAGGAGCUCCUGCUGCAUGGUGGGGGUUGGAAAGUUUCGGCGGUUGGGGAUGGACUCGCGGCUUAUCUGCUUGUUUGUGGGGUAGUGGCUUACCAAGGCUUUGACGGGUAGUCGGCCUGAGAGGGUGACCGGCCACAUUGGGACUGAGAUACGGACCAGACGCAUACGGGAGGCAGAAGUGGGGAAUAUUGCACAAUGAGCGGAAGCAUGAUGCAGAAACGCCGCGUGCGGGAUGACGGCCUUCGGGUUGUAAACAGAUUUCGCAUGUGACGAAGAGUGAGUGACGGUAAUGGGUAAAGAAGCACCGGCUAACUACGUG